CACAUCUGAGGCACUGUAUUUAGAUGAACAGCUGAACAUUCCUCAGUGAUGGAGCGACCUCUGAUGGAGCUCGAGCUCUUGAAUCACAGCGCGUUCACGGAGGAUCUGACCAGAGGAUCCUGACAGCCCGAGGCACUGCCGACAAACUUCACACCGGGGCAAAAACGUGAGAACGGAGGACACACAAAAUAAAAAAGUCAUCUCGGUGCACAAGAUAGUCGAUAGAGUGAGCAGAAAAAGACAGGACAACCUUGAGCGGGUGUAAAGGACAGUUUGAAGAAGGACCAGGCUCCUGUGUGUGACCUAUCGUCUGUGGCCUUGGGAGAGCGGCUCUGCUUUGGCCCAAUGCAGAGAUCAUCUAUCAGUUUCUGUCACAUGAGGACGUGUGUCUGUCUGUUCUGGACCCAUUCUCUGAUCCAGCAUCAGUUUGCUGAAGGCCUCAAGCAUUCAUCACCCUGAAACCCAGCAGGAUUUUCACACUGUCCCACUCCUCUGAUCCUGCCUCUUCUUCUCCUGCGUGCCUCUCUCAGCCCUUCCUGGAGACCCCAGGGCCCCUCAUCCACAAUGGAGAGCA
Cyprinus carpio (common carp) is the source of this 574-nucleotide long non-coding RNA. RefSeq lists it as uncharacterized. Lineage: Eukaryota; Metazoa; Chordata; Actinopteri; Cypriniformes; Cyprinidae. The record is from RefSeq and is a predicted model, not a curated record. The transcript has 3 exons.